GUUUGUGACGGUUUGAUCGGGUAGAGCAUCGCACUAGUAACGCGGAGGUCAUGGGUUCAAAUCCCGUUGAAGCCA
Molecule: non-coding RNA, 75 nt
Organism: Desmophyllum pertusum
Lineage: Eukaryota; Metazoa; Cnidaria; Anthozoa; Scleractinia; Caryophylliidae
Source: the annotation of a GenBank genome assembly